Molecule: long non-coding RNA, 8082 nt
Filed under: Sus scrofa (pig)
Lineage: Eukaryota; Metazoa; Chordata; Mammalia; Artiodactyla; Suidae
Description: lncRNA (ENSSSCG00065061184.1)
Source: RNAcentral
UUUUUUACAUUUAAACUGUGUUCCACCAGAGACUUAUUUUGAGCUAAGACUGAAGGUAAAGAUCCAAUUUCAUUUCUUUGUAGCAAGUUAGCAUUCGAAUGCUCAAUCUUGUCCUUUAUGAUAUCCAAUGCCAACUUUAUCAUAUGUGAAAUUUCCACAUAUGUAUAUUUAUCCCACAGUAUUUUUUUGACUGUCUCAGCCUUUUCCAUGUGUCUAUAUAAGUACCAUAGUCUUUAUAGUUCAAUAUUUUUAUUAAAAAAGAUAAACUAGUCCACUUGAUACUCUUCCUUGACAUUUUUCAUUAUGUAUUCUUAUUUUUAUAAGCUCUUUAGUUGAGUCACUUGGAUUUUCCCGUUAUACAGUCAUACUAAUCUGAAAGUAUGGUUAGCAUUCCUCCUUUCCAUUUUUUUUAAACUUCUGUUUUCCUUGUAAGAUCACUUUGGCCAGUCUCUCUGUAACAAUAUUAAGUGAUAGUGGGGAUAGACGUAUUCAUUGUCUUAACUUUAUGGAAAUGUUUUUGAUGUUUCCUUAUUAAGCAAGAUGUUGGCCUCUCAAAUGAGAUACAUACAUACAUAUAUUUUAAAAGUAUCACUAUAAAUUGGUACAACCACUAUGGAAAACAGUAUGAAGGUACCUUAGAAAACUAUACAUAGACCAGCAAUCCCACUCUUGGGCAUCUAUCUGGACAAAACUUUCCUUGAAAAAGACAUAUGCACCCACAUGUUCAUUGCAGCCCUAUUCACAAUAGCCAAGACACGGAAACAACCUAAAUGUCCACUGACGGAUGAUUGGAUUAAGAAGAUGUGGUAUAGGAGUUCCCAUCAUGGCGCAGUGGUUAACGAAUACGACUAGGAACCAUGAGGUUGCGGGUUCGGUCCCUGCCCUUGUUCAGUGGGUUAACAAUCUGGCGUUGCCGUGAGCUGUGGUAUAGGUUGCAGACGCGGCUCGGAUCUCGCGUUGCUGUGGCUCUGGCGUAGGCCGGUGGCUACAGCUCCGAUUCAACCUCUAGCCUGGGAACCUCCAUACGCCGAGGGAGCGGCCCAAGAAAUAGCAACAACAACAAAAGACAAAAGACAAAAAAAAAAAAAAAAAGAAGAUGUGGUAUAGAUACACAAUGGAAUACUACUCAGCCAUAAAAAAGAGCAAAAUCAUGCCAUUUGCAGCAACAUGGAUGGAACUAGAGACUCUCAUACUAAGUGAAGUAAGUCAGAAAGAGAAAAACAAAUACCAUAUGAUAUCACUUAUAUCUGGAAUCUAAUAUAUGGCACAAAUGAACCUUUCCACAGAAACAAAAAUCAUGGACAUGGAGAAUAGACUUGUGGUUGCUGAGGGGGAGGGAGCGGGAUGGACUGGGAAUUCAGGGUUAAUCGAUGCAAACUAUUGCCUUUGCAAGGGAUAAGCAAUGAGAUCCUGCUGUAUAGCACUGGGAACCAUGUCUAGUCACUUAUGAUGGAGCAUGAUAAUGUGAGAAAAAAGAAUGUAUACAUGUAUGUGUAACUGGGUCACCUUGCUGUGCAGUAGAAAAUUGACAGAACACUGUAAACCAGCUAUAAUGGAAAAAUUAAAAAUCAUUAUGAAAAAGAAUUAUAUGUUAGAACUCAUAAAGUGCUUAGAAAAGUGCCCAGAAUGGAGUAAGCAUUCACAUUACAGAUGCUCGUGAGGACUGCCAAUCCAGGGAUAUUGCCAAACCAGAACUUCUUCAUAUCAAAUUUUAACCUGCAAGUUUCCACACCAUAUAAAUGGUUUACAUUUUUAGCCCUAAACCCACGUUAGCCAGGUUUGGGUUAGAAAUUAUCACAAGGGCAGAGACCUCCAUUGCCCAGUGUCUAGAAUGGUGCCUGGCACAGAAGAGGCACUCACACAUUUGUUGAAUGAAGAAUGAAUGCACAAAUGGAGGUUCUCCCACCCCCUCCAUGGCUCCUUUUGUUUUUUCUUGAUCCAUCCAGAGCCAUAGCUGAGAAGAACAGGUCUCCUACUUCAGGGUGAGUUUCUUUCUAGUGUAAUAUUGAUGGUAUCACCUUUAGGGGCCUGAGCUAUAAAAACCACUUAGCCUCUUAUCCUGCUUGAGCCUCAGCUUUGUCUUCUCCCUCCUCAACUCUGAGUGAGUCAUGUGUCUAUCAGAAUCCAAGUUACGAUUCACUAAGGACUAGUAAGUUGCUCUCAGGAGAAUCCUCACAAGUUUUUUUUCUUCUCAAAGACAAUGUUUUUUCAGUUGUUUCUGGCCUACAGUUCCUUCUCUUCCUUUAUCUCCAGGCUAGGCUUUAAGAAGAUAGAUUUUAUAUUUUAACCAGAAUUUUUAGGUGUGAAGUAUUCACCUUCUAUGACAUUGCUAGAAAUAGAAUAAUCUAUAACCAUUUAUUUAAAAAUGAUAUAACAUAAAAACUAAUGUGGAAAAAUGGGUUAUAAGAUAGUGUCUCUGGGUUCAGGACAUCAUCCCUUUACCGCACAGAAGUUAUAGAUUUAUUCUGUGUUCCAAAUCAGAAUACUUUUUAUUAUUAUCUCAUAGAUGAAUAACACUAGCUAUAACCUCAUGAGUACUAUUAUGCAUCAGGCAUUUUACAUAUGUUAUCUCUAAUCACUAUACUAACUUCACACCACGCUUUAUUUGCCUUAUUUUUAAAGUAAAGAAACUAAAAGAGCAUUUAUGAAACUUUACCAGUAAUUCACGGUAGUAAAAAGCUGUGUAGACAUGUAUUAUUUCACCUGCCUACCCACACACUUCUAAGAAAUGUUAUUUCACUCAGUUGAGGUGUAGUAGCUAUGGUUUAUAUCACAUGACUCUACCCCCAUGUCCCAGGCAAGUGUAUAAAAAGUACUAACUCGACUUAAGGACCCACAAUCCAUAGGUUGGUCAGUACCCUCUUAGCAAACUAAGAAUGGGUUUGGCUCAAUCAGAUUCUCCUUCUUCUACAUGAAUUUGGCCAGUGGUAGGUGAUUCCUAACACUUGAAUAUUCCCUUUGAAAGCAAGUGCUGGGAAAAAACAAAAAGUCAAAAAGUUCUAAGUUAUCAGAGAAUUGAGAACAAGCGACAGAGGGCUAUGUUUUUCACCCAUCUGGUCCAUUUAUCUUUGUAAAUACAGUGUUACUUAUUUAAAUAAGAAUUACAGCCUAGAAGUUCCCAUCGCAGUGCAGCAGAAAUGACUCUGACUAGGAACCAUGAGGUUGCAGGUUCGAUUCCCGGCCUUGCUCAGUGGGUUAAGGAUCCGGCAUUGCUGUGAGCUGUGGUUCAGAUUCGUUUCCUCUGCGUCACAAUGCGAACUCCCCAAAUCUCAAAUAUUUAGGAGACCAGAGGAAAACGAGGAAAAGAGCCACUACUUGUUUAAAAUUUUCCUGCUUGGAAUUGUUUAACUUUAAAGCAUGAGGUGGUCAUAGUCUGAACUAAAAUGUCCAAGUAUAUCUUACUCUUCUUUUUCUUGCAGCCAUCAGCACAGAUUUUGCACACGGUAGGGCACAACAAAUCAAAUAAUGAAAAAACUGACAAGACAGUGACAGAGAUAGAGAUGUUUCUGGAAUUACAUUCAGAGUCUAUAGCUCUUUCUUCUUUUCAGGGAGAGUACUUUCUUUUAAAUGUUCUCAUUGGGAACUGUCACCAAUUACAAGAGACUAUGGAGAUAUGGAAAUGAAAGCAGUACAGGAUCCUGGACAAUAUCCUGAAGCAGGAAAAGUGUAUUAGUGAGUUAAACUGGAGAAAUUUCAAUAAUGUCUGUAGAUUAAGCAAAUAGUAUUUUAUCAAUGGCAAUUUCCUGAUUUUGAUAACUGCACUAUACUGAAGUUAGACCUUAAUAUGAGGGGAAGUUGGGUGAAGGACAGUGGGAACUCUCUGUACUAUUUUUGUAACUUCGUGAGUCCAAGAUAUUUCAAACUAAAAAGGUUUAAAAAUGAAUUAAUGCCCUGGUUGAUGGCAACUCUCUCUCUUUUUUUAAAGUAUAGAAUUGAUUUUGAAAACAAGAAAGAAAAGAAAAAUUAGUGCAGAACAAAGGCUGGUGAAAAGGUCAGUAAUCUAUCUGGGUAAUAAAUUUCUUUGUAGGGGAGGGGCUGAUUAAAAAAACAUGCUGUGACUUUAAGUAAACAUGAGACUGUUUUCUUUUAUAGUUCAUAAAUGGUUUCUAAAGGCAAGUCAAAAGGACGAGUUCUAAAAAUAUUUUUUGCAGUGACAGCAUUGUUGAAUUAGUGUAAAGAGCGGCUGCACUAAAGAAUAGCAUCCAUUGAAACAGUGCACCUUACGGUACGUUUAUUCUAAAAAGACACUCUUCAGUACCUUUGGUCACAACUCUGGGUGUUAAAGCAGUGUCUGUGUGCUUAGUAGGUGUAAGAAAAGUUAAUUGAAUGCAAUAACUUGUCAUGUCUCCUGCUUUCUAACGCAGGCGUCUAAGUGAUUUUCUAAUCUCUUCUAUUACGGAAGUUCUUGGUUUACUUUUUUGAGGUUAUUAGAAAAUGUCUUACUCUUAAGUAGAAAUUUAGUAGAAACUGGCUAUUCUUUGGGGAGGAGAAGGAAAGUGCAAAGAGAAACAGGGUGAGAGAGACAGUUGCAUGCAUGCAGUGUGUGGCCAGCAAGAGCAGCUCUCCUGGUCAUCAGUGUUGAUCCCUCUGUUGGUCUCACAGUGUAUUACUCUAUCUAGGUCAACACUGGGCAUCCCCCGGACACAUUCACCAUCUGUUGACCAUAACAUAUGCAACAUUUUACAGAGAAUUUAUAACCAGGCACCUUAUCCAUGAAUUAAUAAGCUCAGAUUUUCAGUCAUUAAAAUUUGUGCUGGAAGGCCUUUGAGCUAUAUAACCAAAAAAUAGAAUAAAAUAAUAUAUAAAAUUAUAUAAAAUAUAAACCAUUACCCCAAGAGGCACCAUGCCCAAUUCUGUAACAAAACAGAAGCACUUUCUUUCUUUCUUUCCCUGAUGGAAUAACGUGAUACAGGAUAUAGGCCCAACCUUUAGAAUCAAUGUCCUAAUUUCUCUUCCUUUUUACCACUUAAUUCGCCUAUAUUUUGCCCGUCUUGCUUAUAAAACAGAUGUAAUAACAUUGUUACCUUCCAGGGGACUUAUGUAAAUUAAUGAAUAUGGCUGUAAAACAUUUUGCAAACAUGAAGUGUUACAUAAAUACUUUCCAAUUCCUUGAAUGUGCUCAUUAUAUUGCCUGCUUUGAACCUUAAUAUUUGCUUAUAACUCUAUACUCCAGAUUUCCCCAAGGAAGAAAUUCCAACUUUACUUGCCUGUGGCUUUAUAAACAUCUCUUUUUAUAAGCAAAGUCCAAUUCAAUAGGAUGCAGAACCAAGAACAAACACAAGUAACCAAAAACCAAGCAGUAUUCACAGAUGCUCUAAGCCUGUGAAUAUACAAAGUACACCUUGGUAACAGUUAAGCACAUUCAUUCAACAUUUCCAGUUGGGGAUUGUAAGAGCAAUGUAAUGAUUUAGGGAGUUAGUAAAAAUUAAAAGUUUACAAUAUAAACUCAUGACUCUCAAAUUCUCUGCUUCAACAAAGGACCAUAUUCUCUCACUAUUCAAAGGGCAGAAUCCUAUGAAAGCAAAAAGAAAAUUUUAUAUCUGAACAAGAUUUGAAUCUUUGAGCCUCUGUUGCUCUAGUUGUAAACAUUUUCUCAAUGAAUCCCUUCAAAACACUGCUACACAUGCUCUACUUAGCCAGUCUGAAACUAUUAUUCACUUGAAAAUAUGGUAUCAUACUAAAAAUUACUAGAUGAUUAAAUGAGAUAGUACAUGACAUAUUCUGCACAGUAUCCAUUUCAGAGUACUCAAUAAAUAGUACUGACAAAACCGAUAUGUAGUUAUAUUAAUUAUUCUGACAAAUUAUUGACGGACAUGUAUUGAUGUCCAAUAAAUAUGAUUUUGUGGAUAACAAGGGAAAUACCAAUACUCCUACUUAUACAUUAAAUCCAUGACAAUGAAAUGCAAGUUAAUAUUUAGUACAUAUUUUGAUAAGAAACUCAUCACCAUGAGAGUAACAACAUUAAGAAAACUCUGUGGCGUAACAAUUUUAACAUGUUGAUAUAUUAUGAAAUAUGACACAAAAACCAGCACAUAUAACUGUACAAAUUUCAUGACAAAAGGCUAUGCAUAUCCUUCAAAAGCUUUAAUUGAAAGAGUGACUAUCACACUAAGCUAGAAGACAAGAAAAGUACUGUUAUUCUACUCUAUGACCCUAAAGAUUCCACAGCUGAAGGAUUAUUAUGUCCAGUCAGCAUGCAGUCUGUACAAAUGCAUCAGCAUAAAACAAAUGGUCUUCCAAAAUUGUAACUUGGAAUGAUGUCUAUUAUAUAACAGAGAAACAGUCCAACUCCACUGUAAUAAAUUCAGAUAUAAAACAAAAACUAUGAUUUGGCAAAAAGCAUGUCAUUCAAUGAAGGGUUUGCCAUGACUGAGGGUUGAAUGGCUUUUACUAACAGUGAUCACAAACAUUUAGGAUAAAAUAGAAAAAAAAAAAAUGCAUGGGAGCUACAACUCCUAGGGUCUAAGUGAGUCCACAGUGAAGAAAAACUCUUAUACAUACUGAAUGUGGGAAAACUCUCACCAAAAGAUUGAGGCUUCUUUCACACCAGAAAAUUCCUACUGGAGAGAAGCUAUGUACUGAAUGUUGGGAAAUCUACAGAAAGAAGUCAGAGUGGAUUUAUUCAACAGAAGAUUCAUACUGCAGAGAAACCUCAUGGAGGUAGUAUAUCUGCGGGAAAUCGUUUGCUGGGAAAUCACAUCUUCAGUUGCAUCAUCCAAUUGAUAUAGGUGAAAAACCUAUAUGUGAGCUGAUUGUGGGAAGGCCUUCACUAACAGGGCAAAGGUCCAGAAACCUCAGGAUGCUCACCCUUGAAGUAAAGCCUAUCAAUGCAGUGACUAUGAUAAGGGCUCUACCUAGUUGUUCUAAUGUGUUCUAGAGUGCAUCAGAGAAGCCAUACCCGGGGAAAAAACCAUUUGUUUUUGAGAGUGAUUAGGCCUGCUCAAGGCAAUCAGAUCUAAUUCUAAUUUAAAAAAUCAAGGCUCCAGGCUGCAGAGAGCUUUAUGAAUAAGUUACAUGUGAGAAAGCCUUUAAGAAAAGGUUGCUCAUUCUGUUCGAGGGAGAACUCAUUCCCAGGAGAACCUCUAACGAUGCCUGGCUGAAGGAACCCUUCUUAAUUGGCACCACAAAUGGUAUCACACCUUUCUGUUGACAGUUUAAUGAAUUAGGAAUCUUCCUGUAAGAUGUACUAAAUGUGUAUUUCUUUUAAGUAUUACUGCAGUUAUUAGCAAAUUGUAGUUCAUCUACGUAGUACUUGUUCAAAGCUUUUUUCUUCUUAGUUUUCUUUGAUUUAUAUCAUUCUGAAUACCUUAGGGAUACCUGUCACUUCACUUGCUAUGUACUGCAACAGUUUUAUUACAGCUUUCAUUACAGUAUCAUUUACAAUAGGGACAAUGUUGAUUAAUCUCAGUUACAAAUAAUGGUUUGCCUCCAAGAAAGCUAAAGGUAGCUAAGGCAAAGCUAGUGAGAUUAAUAAAAUCAGUAAACCAACCAUAGUAUUUUAAACAUAAAUAUGCUAUUCUACCCAGUAGAAUCUAUAAAAUAUUUUCAGGCAAAACUUAGACAUCGUGAGUCAAAAUUUUACGGGAGUUUAGAGAAUUUUAAGAGCGUCAACCUUAAAAGCAUGUCUUUGUAACUCAGGGGAAAUAUUUCCUAAUUACAUAAGGUAAGAGGUCUUUAUGUCGUGGGUUUAUUAAAUUUGUAAGGAAGAAAAUGAUGAUGACAUGCCCACUAAACACAUUAUAUUCUUAAUACUCUUUUUUUUUUUUUUUUUAAACUCAAGUCUCACUUCCUGAGUGUUAAUUGCACUGGCUUCAAAAGCAUCUGGCAGGGCUUGCCUUGGAUGACUGAUGGAGUCCAUCUCCUGGAGCUGGGGGGCCUGGGGAACUGCCACCACUCUCCCCCCUGAAUACAGCUCAGCAGAACCAGCUGGGACACAGCUGCAUCCCAGCUGUCAGCCUUGAUUUCCUAUGGCUACACUAAAAACAAUCACCCCAGCUCGAUCACAUGACAAAUCAAUCUAAACUGCUAUGGGUAGGACUCACUAAACAUUAGAAAUUAAAAUGUGCCAAGAAUUCAGAAAGA